UUUGCUUGGAAGAAUGGAGAGCAUUGGAUCUAGUGCCAGAUGAGUGGUUACUUGUCUCGCCAGGAGAAUGGACAUCUGCUUUCGGAAAAUCAGAGCCAGCCGUAGCCUAGCAGGGUUCACUCGGAGACACAUAGGCGCUACCGGAGCAAUGACUAACUUUGCCUCUUAAUGGGGUGGGGACCUCCUCUUUGCUCGGAGCUGUCUGCAAGUCAUUCAAGCAAUUAGGUAAACUCUAGGUUGCUGUCCAUAGAGGACCGGUUGGCUGCUCUGGAGUCGAAAAACUGUGCGGGAGAGACAAACUUUAAGAAGAGAAGACUGGUGCACAAUCCCAAGCUUGCGGAAGCAGUACGCCGUCUUCACAACUCGGAGAAAAAUUGCAGGCGCUACGAACCGG
Long non-coding RNA from Alosa alosa (allis shad), 394 nucleotides. RefSeq lists it as uncharacterized. The record is from RefSeq and is a predicted model, not a curated record. The transcript is spliced from 3 exons. NCBI's taxonomy places the organism in Eukaryota, Metazoa, Chordata, Actinopteri, Clupeiformes, Clupeidae.